Molecule: ribosomal RNA, 383 nt
Filed under: uncultured cyanobacterium
Lineage: Bacteria; Bacillati; Cyanobacteriota
Description: bacterial SSU rRNA
Rfam family: Bacterial small subunit ribosomal RNA
Source: RNAcentral
CGAAAGCCUGACGGAGCAACGCCGCGUGAGGGACGAAGGCCUCUGGGCUGUAAACCUCUUUUCUCAAGGAAGAAGAUAUGACGGUACUUGAGGAAUAAGCCACGGCUAAUUCCGUGCCAGCAGCCGCGGUAAUACGGGAGUGGCAAGCGUUAUCCGGAAUUAUUGGGCGUAAAGCGUCCGCAGGCGGCUUUUCAAGUCUGCUGUUAAAGCGUGGAGCUUAACUCCAUCAUGGCAGUGGAAACUGAAAGGCCUGAGUAUGGUAGGGGCAGAGGGAAUUCCCGGUGUAGCGGUGAAAUGCGUAGAUAUCGGGAAGAACACCAGUGGCUAUUGCGCUCUGCUGGGCCAUUACUGACGCUCAUGGACGAAAGCCAGGGGAGCGAAAG